CACGUAGGGCGCAAGCGUUGUCCGGAAUUAUUGGGCGUAAAGAGCUCGUAGGCGGUCUGUUACGUCUGCUGUGAAAACUCGGGGCUUAACCCCGAGCCUGCAGUGGAUACGGGCAGACUGGAGUACUGCAGGGGAGACUGGAAUUCCUGGUGUAGCGGUGGAAUGCGCAGAUAUCAGGAGGAACACCGGUGGCGAAGGCGGGUCUCUGGGCAGUAACUGACGCUGAGGAGCGAAAGCGUGGGGAGCGAACAGG
This 253-nucleotide ribosomal RNA is filed under the name uncultured bacterium. Its description in RNAcentral is "partial 16S ribosomal RNA". It matches the Rfam family "Bacterial small subunit ribosomal RNA", at positions 524 to 776 of the family's 1533-position model. The record is from RNAcentral.